Molecule: long non-coding RNA, 2477 nt
Filed under: Gadus morhua (Atlantic cod)
Lineage: Eukaryota; Metazoa; Chordata; Actinopteri; Gadiformes; Gadidae
Description: lncRNA (ENSGMOG00000028917.1)
Source: RNAcentral
AUGCCGAAGCACUGUGCCUAUGGGUUGUGCAAAACGGACAACCGAUACCCAAAGAGUUCGGAGGGUGGUGUUGUUUUUUUUCCAUUCACGAAACCCAAAACUCAAUACGAGAAAUGCCGUGAGUGGAUCAAAAAGUGUGGGAGGCCCCAAUCGCAGAUGAAUGUCUCGACGAUAACCAAGAACACUUACAUUUGCUCCAAGCAUUUUGUUAAUGGACAGCCGACACACGACUUCCCCAAUCCCAUUGCUGCUCUCCCGGGGUCAGUUUGUACGCGGGAGCAUCACGGGGGUUGCCGGAGGUUUUAUUUAUUUAUUAAUUAUUGAAAGAAAAUGAUCAUAACCUCAAGAAAACAACUGUGUAAUCAAGUAACUAAACUAAACCUGUGUUCAACUGAUUGUUUACAGAAUCAGGUGUGACCAGCCGGAAACGAACACCUCAUUCUCCACCGAGGACACAUCACUACAGUGUGACUUGACCAACAACAGCGGUAAAUUUAAAUGGGGAGGAAGAAACUAAAGAAAAACAAAUCUAGAUUGUUUUUAAUGUUACACCACUUUUCCACAUCAAAAUGUAUCCUCUGUAAAUGGUAGUCCUCCUCACACAUCACAAAAAAGUCACACCAAGGCAUGCCUGUAAGUCCCAGCUGCCCUAUUAUCUGAUAGUAGUAGGCGUGGGUCUCCUUUAACCUUUGACUACCAUCUGACUGUUUUUGGAGAUAGGGACAGUCUUGGCAGCUGCUCUUUGAUGGACAUUUUAUUUCAAGAAGGCCAAAGCUUGUACCAUCUUUGACCCUCCUAUCUGGGGAUGCAGUGGCGUGCACAGACAUUUUGGGGGGCAGGUGCUCAGGGAAAAAUAAGGGCACAUUAAAGUGUCAUUUCGAAGUGAAGAGUGAUCAUUACCACUUUUCUAAAGCAGCAUCCUCCUCAGUGCCAUGUCUUGAUGUUGAUGACCUCACUAUGAUUGAUCUUGAUAUAUUUUUCUAUAGCAAGCAGGAGAAGGUCAGAGAGCCGUUCUUCUCCACACAGACUUCUUAGCUUAGUUUUGAUAAUUUUCAGCUUUGAAAAUUAUCUCUCCACAGAAGCAGUUGUCACUGGCAAUGUUUCAUCGAUUUUUAUCAUCUUCACAAAGGCAGGAAAGAUGAGCCGGCCACUGUUUUCCCUCAGUAUGGCAAAGAUUUCUUUGAGGUCUUUUGCAGGAAAGCUGGAGUGGAACACCUUUAGUUCUGUCUUCAGCUGGUCCUCGUCUUCUCCAUAGAAAUCAGGAUGUGGACGGCUUCCUUGGCUUCUGCGUUUGGCGUGCUUACCCAGUUGGCAUGUACCGUGAAGGGGUGGAAGGACUGAAUGAUUCUAGCAGUGGGACUUCAGCUCCUCAGUCACAGUAUCCAGAAAGGAGGCUUAGGGGGCAAACAAUACACUCUAGACUCAAUUCAUUUAUGUGUUACAUCGCCGGUUGGGCAGGGCAGGGGAGUAGGUGUGUGUGGGCAGCAGCUGUGAACUACAGCUGCAACGCGCCUCCGUUUGUGGCCGCUCUGCGCGUUCACGUUGACAAAGGAAGAGAGUUGUGUGCGAGGAGGAGGGGGGGGGGGCAUAUAUAUUGGGCCAUUAUUAUCACACGUUUUUAAUUGUCGAGCCUUUAUAGAUGAUAAUGUCGGCAUGGGCCACAUACACUGUUUAAAAAAAAGAAAAAAAAAAAAUCAGAUUAUUUUAUUUUUUUCAAAAGGGCACUUGAUUGGGUCAGGGGGCAAAGGGCAGGUGCUAUAGCACCACCUUGGGUCUACCUGUGCACGCCACUGUAUGUGCCGAGGUGUGGAGCAUUGGGAUUAACCACAAAGCCGACAGGGGAAACUAGAUUGCCUGUUAUUACUGUAUACUUCUGCGCUGCCUCGGGCUCAAGUUCUACCCCUCGCCUCAUUGCCUUGGUCUGCUUACCUGAGGUGGCCUUGAGCCUAACAGCCAAAGCACCGAAGUCGGCCCUCCUAGAACAAAUACACUUAAAUACACUUGAUGUGAGUCGUGGAGCCCUUGCAAGAUGCCAGGUUUUAUUUGCAUCUUGUUGUCUGGUCUCUCUUUCUAGGGCUGCAGACUGGGAUAGUGUGAUUGCUAAGACAUCUAGACUACACAUGUCUUUCUCAGACAGCACAAAACAAUAAUUUGAGGGCUGUGCUGGCAGAGGGAAAUCUGGGAAGUUAUAUGAAGUAGAUGAAGUAGAUGAUGGUCCUGGAGGGUCAAUGAGAGGAAGCUGUAAAACAUAAGAAAAUAAUGAACAUUAAUCAUUUCUCUUUAUUUUUGUCAUUAACAGAAGAUCUCGACAACCAAGAGGAACUGAGUCUGCAACCAAGCCGUGAAGCCAACCAAGAGGAAUUGAGAACUCUUCAGGAUGCAUUAACUGCACAAAAGCAGGAGAUAAUUAGUCUGAGGGUCAAGCUUGAGGCAAAGGACAGGGAACUACACCUUCAGAAGUGCACAGACUUAAACCC